AAUCCAUGUUGUGGGCAUCUCCGCAAAAGAUCCUUGAAGAACUCCCAUGUCUCAAACAAUUACUCUAGCUCCAUCUGCACAAAUGACGAUAUCUCAUUGUGAAGCU
Molecule: small nucleolar RNA, 106 nt
Organism: Dioscorea cayenensis subsp. rotundata (Guinea yam)
Lineage: Eukaryota; Viridiplantae; Streptophyta; Magnoliopsida; Dioscoreales; Dioscoreaceae
Source: RefSeq, a predicted model, not a curated record